GGCCUUUUGUUUAUGAUUUAAGGUCUAGCCUGCCCAAUGAGAUUUUGAAUGGCCGCGGUAUUUUAACCGUGCAAAGGUAGCAUAAUCAUUAGUUUUUUAAUUAAAAGCUGGUAUGAAUGGUUGAAUGAAAAAAUAACUGUCUCUAUUUAAAUUUUUUAGAAUUUUAUUUUUAAGUAAAAAAGCUUAAAUUAUAUUAGAAGACGAGAAGACCCUGUAGAGUUUAAUUAAUUAUUAUAAUAGGAUUUUUAGUAUUCUUAUUUUUAUUAUUUAUAAUUAAUUUAGUUGGGGUGAUUUAAAAAUUUAAUAAACUUUUUUUAUAUUUAUACAUUAAUUUAUGAUUGCUUGAUCCUUAUUUUAAGAUUAAAAGAUAAAAUUACCUUAGGGAUAACAGCGUAAUUUUUUUAGAGAGUUCUAAUCGAAAAAAAAGAUUGCGACCUCGAUGUUGGAUUAAAAUAAAAAUUUGGUGUAGAAGCUAAAGUAUUUAGGUCUGUUCGACCUUUAAAAUUUUACAUGAUCUGAGUUUAAACCGGCGUAAGCCAGGUUGGUUUCUAUCUCUAUUUUAAAUAAAUAUUUUAGUACGAAAGGACCAAAUAUUAGGUUUAAAAUUUUAUAUUUGAAUAUAAUU
This 625-nucleotide ribosomal RNA is filed under the name Falklandius sp. FAM1. RNAcentral describes it as "partial 16S ribosomal RNA". It matches the Rfam family "Bacterial large subunit ribosomal RNA", at positions 1819 to 2739 of the family's 2925-position model. The record is from RNAcentral. Lineage: Eukaryota; Metazoa; Arthropoda; Insecta; Coleoptera; Curculionidae.